UGGCGAACGGGUGAGUAACACGUGGGUGAUCUGCCCUGCACUUCGGGAUAAGCCUUGGAAACUGGGUCUAAUACCGGAUAGGACGAUGGUUUGGAUGCCAUUGUGGAAAGUUUUUCUGUGUGUGAUGAGCUCGCGGCCUAUCAGCUUGUUGGUGGGGUAAUGGCCUACCAAGGCGUCGACGGGUAGCCGGCCUGAGAGGGUGUACGGCCACAUUGGGACUGAGAUACGGCCCAG
RNAcentral lists this ribosomal RNA (234 nucleotides) under uncultured Actinomycetales bacterium. RNAcentral describes it as "partial 16S ribosomal RNA". It matches the Rfam family "Bacterial small subunit ribosomal RNA", at positions 96 to 334 of the family's 1533-position model. Lineage: Bacteria; Bacillati; Actinomycetota; Actinomycetes; Actinomycetales. The record is from RNAcentral.